CAGGGAGGAACCCAAAAUGCUCUAAAUGCUCCCCAUCCAUCUUCCUCUCCACACUGCCUCCCAUACUGCAGGCCUGGUGUGAGACUGCAGAGCCUUUUGAGACAUCCUCAUGGCUUGCUGCAAGCCAGGAAAACAUGGACAGGGGCCAGUGGGCUCCCAGGUUCCUUCCAUUUUUCUUGGUGUGGUCUGGACAGCUGAGGUCUCACCAGAGGAAGAGGAGACAAUAAACUCCUACCUUUG
Cygnus atratus (black swan) is the source of this 240-nucleotide long non-coding RNA. RefSeq lists it as uncharacterized. The record is from RefSeq and is a predicted model, not a curated record. The transcript is spliced from 3 exons. NCBI's taxonomy places the organism in Eukaryota, Metazoa, Chordata, Aves, Anseriformes, Anatidae.